RNAcentral lists this ribosomal RNA (253 nucleotides) under uncultured bacterium. RNAcentral describes it as "partial 16S ribosomal RNA". It matches the Rfam family "Bacterial small subunit ribosomal RNA", at positions 524 to 776 of the family's 1533-position model. The record is from RNAcentral.
UACGUAGGGUGCAAGCGUUGUCCGGAAUUAUUGGGCGUAAAGAGCUCGUAGGCGGUUUGUCGCGUCGGCUGUGAAAACCUGGGGCUCAACCCCGGGCCUGCAGCCGAUACGGGCAAACUAGAAUUCGGUAGGGGAGACUGGAAUUCCUGGUGUAGCGGUGAAAUGCGCAGAUAUCAGGAGGAACACCGAUGGCGAAGGCAGGUCUCUGGGCCAUAACUGACGCUGAGAAGCGAAAGCAUGGGGAGCGAACAGG